CGGAGAGUUUGAUCCUGGCUCAGAACGAACGUUGGCGGCGUGGAUUAGGCAUGCAAGUCGAACGGGGUGCCAGAGCUUGCUCUGGUUACCUAGUGGCGAACGGGUGAGUAACGCGUGGGAGACCUGCCCCCGAGUUGGGGAUAACACUUCUAACGAGGUGCUAAUACCGAAUAAGACCACGAAGUCGCAUGGCUUUGCGGUCAAAGAUGGCCUCUGCUUGCAAGCUAUCACUUGGGGAUGGUCCCGCGUCCCAUUAGCUUGAUGGUGGGGUAACGGCCCACCAUGGCAACGAUGGGUAGCUGGUCUGAGAGGAUGGUCAGCCACACUGGGACUGAGAUACGGCCCAGACUCCUACGGGAGGCAGCAGUCGAGAAGCUUCGGCAAUGGACGAAAGUCUGACCGAGCGACGCCGCGUGAGCGAUGAAGGCCCUAGUGGUCGUAAAGCUCUGUCAGGAG
Molecule: ribosomal RNA, 456 nt
Filed under: Candidatus Latescibacterota bacterium
Lineage: Bacteria; Pseudomonadati; Candidatus Latescibacterota
Description: bacterial SSU rRNA
Rfam family: Bacterial small subunit ribosomal RNA
Source: RNAcentral